This 60-nucleotide transfer RNA is filed under the name Taxoblenus sp. Its description in RNAcentral is "tRNA-Val". The record is from RNAcentral. Lineage: Eukaryota; Metazoa; Arthropoda; Insecta; Hymenoptera; Tenthredinidae.
CAAAUUAUAUUUUAUUUUAUUUACAAUAAAAUUUCAGUUGUAAAUUUCAACUUAAUUUGA